GUGGGGAAUAUUGGACAAUGGGGGGAACCCUGAUCCAGCCAUGCCGCGUGUGUGAAGAAGGCCUUUUGGUUGUAAAGCACUUUAAGCGAGGAGGAGGCUACCGAGAUUAAUACUCUUGGAUAGUGGACGUUACUCGCAGAAUAAGCACCGGCUAACUCUGUGCCAGCAGCCGCGGUAAUACAGAGGGUGCAAGCGUUAAUCGGAUUUACUGGGCGUAAAGCGCGCGUAGGUGGCCAAUUAAGUCAAAUGUGAAAUCCCCGAGCUUAACUUGGGAAUUGCAUUCGAUACUGGUUGGCUAGAGUAUGGGAGAGGAUGGUAGAAUUCCAGGUGUAGCGGUGAAAUGCGUAGAGAUCUGGAGGAAUACCGAUGGCGAAGGCAGCCAUCUGGCCUAAUACUGACACUGAGGCACGAAAGCGUGGGGAGCAAACAGGAUUAGAUACCCGGGUAGUCC
RNAcentral lists this ribosomal RNA (451 nucleotides) under uncultured bacterium. RNAcentral describes it as "partial 16S ribosomal RNA". It matches the Rfam family "Bacterial small subunit ribosomal RNA", at positions 354 to 796 of the family's 1533-position model. The record is from RNAcentral.